UAACGGCUUCCCAGAAUUCAAAAAUUCAAAAUGGCAGCAGUUGCUGGGUGUGCCUGGAAGGGCCGGGGGGGGGCGGUGGUGCCCCUCCCAGGAGCCGCCCCUGGCUCUGAAGGGAGCCCAGCCAGUUUCCACUGAGCGGCCUGCCCGCAGGGGGAGCGCGUGUCCAGGAGGGGGCUGGGACCCCCAUCUCUGUUUUUGGAAAGGGCCCGAUCCUGGGAGGAGGGUCCGGAGCGGCCUGCAGAAGUCGGUCCCUGCCUGGAGAGCUCCUGGGGGCGGCUGGCUGGCUCAGCCUGGAUUUUCUACUUCACUUUACUCGCAAAUAAACAAGCCAGCAACAGCCACAAGAAAGCCUCCUCCCUUUGGGGGACACACACACAGAGACCCAAUCCUGAACAAGAGUUUUGCAGGUGAUCUGAGCUGUUCUUACCCAACAGACUCCAAGGGACUGAACGGAGGCAAGCAACACAGAAGUCCAGGCAAUCGGCACCUCCAGAUUCAACAGAGGCAGCCGUGACCAUUGGGCCCCUGGGGAAGAGAGCUGGCCUUGUGGGAGCAAGCAUGGAUGGUCCCCUUUGCAAAGUGGGGUCCGCCUUGGUUUGCAUUUGGAUGGGAGAUGAUGUGUGAGCACUGGAAGACGUUCCCCUGAGGGGAUGGGGCCAGAGCUCAGGGGAAGAGCACCUUCCUUCAUGCAGAAGAUCUCCACGGACUCCCUGGCAUCUCCAGGUAGGACUGGGAGAUCUUCCACCUCUUCUGCCUGUCAGGAGGAGGUCAGUCCAGCAAGAACCCUGGCUCUUUGAAAGGCAGUCCCCUCCCCACACAAUGCCAGUGGGAUCGAGCAAUUCAAAUUUAAUACGAAGCAAACAACAAGACGCACCAAAGCUCCUAACCUCAAGACGAGGAACAGAUCCCUGCACUGCUGCACAGGCAGAAAGGAGAAGGAGGAGAAAGAAUCCCAAGUCACCGUGUCCCCAGAGAGGAGAUGAGCUGUCCUGUCACAGACCGCACGGCAGGCUCCUCCUCUGGGUCUGGCGGUCAAGGAAAGCCCCGUGACGCCCCAUGACGCCCCACCUCCCUGCUGAAAGAAUGACGGGGUUCAAGCCGGAGCCUGGCCUGGACCCGGCUGCAGAGUGUGGGGAGAGGUGGAGAAGGCCGAACAGUGAGUGGGCUGUCUUUCCAGCCGGGCCACCCCCUGGCCCCACAAUCCCCCACAAGUGGGGGCUCCCCCUCACCUCCAGCAUCCUGAGCUGGGCUCCCCUCCGAUGGCCCUGGCUUGGUGCUCCCUCCAACCAGCGGGGGAGUGGGGCAGGUGGCGAGGGAGAAGAUGGUUCUCUGGGGACUCCGGCUCUGAGGAUGUCCUCGUAGACUGUCUGGGCCCCCAGGUGCCCCACAGUGGCUCCAUCUCCGAGGCUCCCACCAGCUCCAGCCUGGGGUCAGCAUUCAAGGCCAGACUGGGCUCCAGGCCUGCCUCCUCAGAGCCCCCACCUGUGGGGGUCACAAGGGCUCUGGGCUAUUCCUAGAGUCAGCCCCAACAUUCAAAGUCCUCUCGUUCUUGCUCGUAGGGUCCUAGGAAGAGACCCUCUGGUUGGGGGAGAAGACCAGAGAGUUAAUGAGAGAGCGGCUUCGUUUGGGGAAGGGGCAGAGGGCCCUCCCCAUCCGGGGAAAUGGAGGCAGCUUCCAGGCUGGAAUUCCCAAAAGGGAGCAGAAGAAAUGGCUUCACCCACCUGAACUGGGCCACGAGGUGGCAUCAAUCGUCCUCGUCUGUUUGGGAGAGAAGACAAGAGAAUUAACGAGAGCCCGGCUGGGUUUGGGAAAGGGGCAGAGGGCCCUGCCCGUCCCCGGGAAAUGGAGGCGGCUUCCGGGCUGGAAUCCCCAAAGGGAGCAAGAGGAACGGCUUCCCCAGCUGCGGUGGGGCCAGAAGGCCUUCCUCAGGGAGCGCCAUGUUCGCCCUGGGGCAGGAUGGGGAAGCCAAGGCACUUGCUCUGGGGAGGGCACUGGGAGGGAAGAGAGACGGAGGAGCAGGUGGGCUCCUCGGAGACCCCCGGCGGGCCCAGAGGGGGAGCCGCCCAGGCCCAGAGCAGGGAGGGAGCUCUGCCUGCCCCAUUCCCUUGGGGGUGGACUUUACCUUCACUCGAAGUGUCCCCCCCAUCUCCCUUGGCGCGGGCCGUUGUCCGCCCCACCCGGCGGAUGGCCAGGGGGAGCAGCGGCUUGAUGACCUCCGCCUGCAGAGAGAGGGAGGAAAGAAGGCCCGUCAGAGCUCGACUGGGGACCCCGGAACCUGGAAGAGGGCGCUGGGGGAUGCCGGAGCCAGGCCAGGCCAGCGUGGGGGAGACUGACCUCGAAAUGGAAGGGGGGCCCAAUCGCCAGGUUUAAUAGAAACAGGCCCGCCUUCUCCGCCACCGCCACUUCUCUUUGGUCCACUGAAUAGGUGACCAGAUCGAUGGCCUGUAGGACAAAAGGAACUGGGUGGGUCCCACCAAGUAUGCCCAAAGACCCCCAGAGAGCCCUCCACCCCCGAAAAGGUGAUGCUUUGAAAGGAGGUGUGGACUCUGGGAAAGGAUCAAGUCGAGGGAUGGUGGAAGAAGGCAAGAGCUCCAAACCCCACAGAAUAAAGAGAUGAGAGAAGGAUCCCCUCCCCAGGGCUGGAAGAGGCCCCCCUCUCCCCCACUUACCUCCGCCAUUCAAAUGAGGUGGGUCAUGGAGGGCUUCUGGGCCAGCAGCUCCCUCAGGAGGGCCUGGAGGGCCUUUUCGGGGGGCAGGAACGGGCUCUGCAAGGGAGGGAGGGAGGGAGGGGGCCAGAGUGUGGCUGCUGGGGGCCAGAGGGGUCUCCCGGCCCCGCCUCUGUCCUUCCGCUCACGGGGGCUUCAGCCACCAAGCAGGCCCCCCACCGAGGGAGCACCGGCCUUUGCCGGGGGGGGGGCAGGGGGGGAGCGAAGGAGCCCCGUCCCUCUUUACCUGCUGGUCUCCCUGUGGAGCUUCGCCCAGGACGCAGCCCAUGCUGGAGAGGGACCCCCUGAUCACCCUCUCCUCUCUGUCCCAGGAGAAGCAAGGCCUCAUCCGGCUGCCAAGAGAAAAGGGGGAAGAAGGUGAGAAAGCCAGUUGGGCGGGGGGGGGGGGGGAGAGAAUACUGUCCAGAAACUGGCAACGGAAGGGAAAGGUCUCAGUAGCACCCCCCACCCCCAGGGCCCCGCUCCGAGGCUUCCCCACCACACAGGGCAGGAGAAGAAAGCCGGAUCCUCUAUGGCACUCAAGCCGUCUGUCCCUAGGUGGGAGGCCAACGUCUCCAAAGCCAUGGGGCAGUGGGGGGCAUUGCUGAAGGGUGGGGAAAUGUCCUCCUCUCCGUUCCUCCCCAGUCCUUACUUCAAGGACGCCGCCUACGGGGGCUUAGGGUGGGGCUGGUCCCUUCCCAUGUUGGCCCCCAAACUCCCCCUUUCCUCCCUCACUGCCCUGAAGACCUCACCUGCCCCCACGUACCUCAAGAAGGUGAUGGCCUCUAUGCAGAGGGAGAAGAGGGGCUGGGGCAGGGGGUCCUUCCAAAUAGAGGCCGUCUCUUCCUGGGAGGGCAGGAUGAAGACACCCUGGGGGGCUGCCCUCGUCCCACCCCAGAUCCACCCACUGCCCUCUCCGGGCUGGGUUUUGCUGGCUGGGAGGCUGCAGGCACCCCUGGGGCACCCAGGGGGCCCACUCUGCUGGUCUUUCUGGCCAGGAAGGCACGGAUCCUGCGCCACCUAGAAGAGAGUGGGGAGACAGUGAGAAGGAGGCCCUUGGGCAGAACAGUUGGGGGGAGGGAGAGGGGGCCCAGGGGGCGAGGAUCCCUGCAGAGCAGCCAGGAGGGGGAUGCAGGGAGCCUCAACACAGCUAGCACUCUUCAGUGAAUGACGCGGCUCCUGGGUCAGGAACCCACUGGGUGGCUGCCUGCUUGGGCCCAGCCCCUUUGGGAAUCCCGGGCACAGCUCUGGCCAGCCCAUCUCCAAAAGGACAUCUCGGGGCUGGGGAAGGUGCAGAAAGGAGCUCUCCGAAUCCUCAGAAAAGACUCAAGAAGGGAGUGGGUGCUGGAGAAGGGGGUCCCGUGGGACACGGCCUUCUCUGUGACUGCCCCUGGGCUUUGGAAAGGGCUCCCUGUCCAUAGAAGAGCUCCUGCAUCUCUGGCUGCCUUUUAAAAAGCCACUCAAGACACACCUGUUUUCUCAGGCCUUUUUGCUAAACCUAUUAUUAGAAGUGUUUUUAAAGACCAGUUUUAAAAAUGUUGUGAUUCUAAUAUUGGCUGAAUUGAUGUUUGUUUAUGGUUUUCAGUUGUGUACACUGCCUUGAACAUUGACACCAGUUGUGUAUAUAUUGUCUUGCAAACAUUUGUAUUCUUCCUGUGCCUCCAUAGCUCAUCCUGAAGGGUUUGUUUGUGGGUUAAGGUUAAGGGACAAGAGUCCUAGUCAAUCCGUAUUCCUAAAUAAAAACAGAACAGCAGGUCUGCUGGAUCAGGCCCAAGGAGGCCCACCUAGUCCAGCAUCACUGGCCCACCAGAUGCCUCCGAGAAGCCCACAGGCAAGGGGUAAGGGCAUGCCCUCUCUCCUGCUGUGGCUCCCCUGCAACGGGUAUUGAGAGGCAUCCUGCCUCUGAGGCUGGCACUGGCCAAUAGCCCUCUGACUAGUAGCCCCUGUUAGACCUCCCCUCCCCUCCACGAAGCUCUCCUACAAACAAGUCAAGGGGUAACUGCUUCUAAAGCUUUCACUGGGGGAGAUGGCGAUAUAAGCAUCCUUCUCUAGAGGAAGCUCCGGGCUAACUUUUCAAGGCCUGCUCACUCAAAGGAUUGUAAUAUGCAUCUUACGUAAUAAAGUACUUCUCUUUGGUUAAUUGAA
This is a long non-coding RNA of Hemicordylus capensis (graceful crag lizard), 4850 nucleotides long. RefSeq lists it as uncharacterized. The transcript has 3 exons. The record is from RefSeq and is a predicted model, not a curated record. NCBI's taxonomy places the organism in Eukaryota, Metazoa, Chordata, Lepidosauria, Squamata, Cordylidae.